RNAcentral lists this ribosomal RNA (449 nucleotides) under uncultured bacterium. RNAcentral's name for it is "partial 16S ribosomal RNA". It matches the Rfam family "Bacterial small subunit ribosomal RNA", at positions 29 to 523 of the family's 1533-position model. The record is from RNAcentral.
AACGAACGCUGGCGGCAUGCCUAACACAUGCAAGUCGAACGAGAUCUUCGGGUCUAGUGGCGCACGGGUGCGUAGCGCGUGGGAAUCUGCCCUUUGGUUCGGAAUAACAGUUGGAAACGACUGCUAAUACCGGAUGAUGACGAAAGUCCAAAGAUUUAUCGCCAGAGGAUGAGCCCGCGUAGGAUUAGCUAGUUGGUGUGGUAAAGGCGCACCAAGGCGACGAUCCUUAGCUGGUCUGAGAGGAUGAUCAGCCACACUGGGACUAAGACACGGCCCAGACUCCUACGGGAGGCAGCAGUGGGGAAUAUUGGACAAUGGGCGAAAGCCUGAUCCAGCAAUGCCGCGUGAGUGAUGAAGGCCUUAGGGUUGUAAAGCUCUUUUACCCGGGAUGAUAAUGACAGUACCGGGAGAAUAAGCUCCGGCUAACUCCGUGCCAGCCGCCGCAGUAA